GUGGGGAAUAUUGGACAAUGGGCGAAAGCCUGAUCCAGCCAUGCCGCGUGUGUGAAGAAGGUCUUCGGAUUGUAAAGCACUUUAAGUUGGGAGGAAGGGCAGUAAGUUAAUACCUUGCUGUUUUGACGUUACCGACAGAAUAAGCACCGGCUAACUUCGUGCCAGCAGCCGCGGUAAUACGAAGGGUGCAAGCGUUAAUCGGAAUUACAGGGCGUAAAGCGCGCGUAGGUGGUUUUGUAAGUUGGAGGUGAAAUCCCCGGGCUCAACCUGGGAACUGCCUCCAAAACUGCAUGACUAGAGUACGGUAGAGGGUAGUGGAAUGUCCUGUGUAGCGGUGAAAUGCGUAGAUAUAGGAAGGAACACCAGGCGAAGGCGACUACCUGGACUGAUACUGACACUGAGGUGCGAAAGCGUGGGGAGCAAACAGGAUUAGAAACCCCUGUAGUCC
RNAcentral lists this ribosomal RNA (448 nucleotides) under uncultured bacterium. Its description in RNAcentral is "partial 16S ribosomal RNA". It matches the Rfam family "Bacterial small subunit ribosomal RNA", at positions 354 to 796 of the family's 1533-position model. The record is from RNAcentral.